AGGAUUCCCUAGUAACUGCGAGUGAAGCGGGAAAAGCUCAAAUUUAAAAUCUGGCGGUCUCUGGCCGUCCGAGUUGUAAUCUAGAGAAGUAAUGCCCGUGCUGGACCGUGUAUAAGUCUCCUGGGAUGGGGCGUCAUAGAGGGUGAGAAUCCCGUCUUUGACACGGACUACCAGUGCAUUGUGGUAUGCUCUCAAAGAGUCGAGUUGUUUGGGAAUGCAGCUCAAAAUGGGUGGUAAAUUCCAUCUAAAGCUAAAUAUUGGCGAGAGACCGAUAGCGAACAAGUACCGUGAGGGAAAGAUGAAAAGAACUUUGGAAAGAGAGUUAAACAGUACGUGAAAUUGCUGAAAGGGAAACGCUUGAAGUCAGUCGCGUUGGCCGGGGAUCAGCCUUGCUUUUGCAUGGUGUACUUUCUGGUUGACGGGUCAGCAUCAAUUUUGACCGCUGGAAAAAGACCUGGGGAAUGUGGCAGCUUCGGCUGUGUUAUAGCCCCUAGUCGCAUACAGUGGUUGGGAUUGAGGAACUCAGCACGCCGCAAGGCCGGGUUUCGACCACGUUCGUGCUUAGGAUGCUGGCAUAAUGGCUUUAAGCGACCCGUCUUGAAACACGGACCAAGGAGUCUAACAUGCCUGCGAGUAUUUGGGUGGAAAACCCAAGUGCGUAAUGAAAGUGAAAGUUGAGAUCCCUGUCGUGGGGAGCAUCGACGCCCGGACCAGAACUUUUGGGACGGAUCCGCGGUGGAGCAUGUAUGUUGGGACCCGAAAGAUGGUGAACUAUGCCUGAAUAGGGUGAAGCCAGAGGAAACUCUGGUGGAGGCUCGUAGCGAUUCUGACGUGCAAAUCGAUCGUCAAAUUUGGGUAUAGGGGCGAAA
RNAcentral lists this ribosomal RNA (869 nucleotides) under Agaricus cf. essettei ZRL2012026. RNAcentral describes it as "eukaryotic LSU rRNA". It matches the Rfam family "Eukaryotic large subunit ribosomal RNA", at positions 71 to 928 of the family's 3401-position model. The record is from RNAcentral. Lineage: Eukaryota; Fungi; Basidiomycota; Agaricomycetes; Agaricales; Agaricaceae.